GACGAACGCUGGCGGCGUGCUUAACACAUGCAAGUCGAACGGAAAGGCCCUGCUUUUGUGGGGUGCUCGAGUGGCGAACGGGUGAGUAACACGUGAGUAACCUGCCCUUGACUUUGGGAUAACUUCAGGAAACUGGGGCUAAUACCGGAUAGGAGCUCCUGCUGCAUGGUGGGGGUUGGAAAGUUUCGGCGGUUGAGGAUGGACUCGCGGCUUAUCAGCUUGUUGGUGGGGUAGUGGCUUACCAAGGCUUUGACGGGUAGCCGGCCUGAGAGGGUGACCGGCCACAUUGGGGCUGAGAUACGGCCCAGACUCCUACGGGAGGCAGCAGUGGGGAAUAUUGCACAAUGGGCGGAAGCCUGAUGCAGCAACGCCGCGUGCGGGAUGACGGCCUUCGGGUUGUAAACCGCUUUCGCCUGUGACGAAGCGUGAGUGACGGUAAUGGGUAAAGAAGCACCGGCUAACUACGUG
RNAcentral lists this ribosomal RNA (468 nucleotides) under uncultured bacterium. Its description in RNAcentral is "partial 16S ribosomal RNA". It matches the Rfam family "Bacterial small subunit ribosomal RNA", at positions 28 to 507 of the family's 1533-position model. The record is from RNAcentral.